Molecule: ribosomal RNA, 976 nt
Filed under: Lactarius mammosus
Lineage: Eukaryota; Fungi; Basidiomycota; Agaricomycetes; Russulales; Russulaceae
Description: eukaryotic LSU rRNA
Rfam family: Eukaryotic large subunit ribosomal RNA
Source: RNAcentral
UUGACCUCAAAUCGGGUGAGACUACCCGCUGAACUUAANNNNNNCAAUAAGCGGAGGAAAAGAAACUAACAAGGAUUCCCCUAGUAACUGCGAGUGAAGCGGGAAAAGCUCAAAUUUAAAAUCUGGCGGUCUUUGGCCGUCCGAGUUGUAAUUUAGAGAAGCGUCUUCCGCGUCGGACCGUGCACAAGUCUCCUGGAAUGGAGCGUCAUAGAGGGUGAGAAUCCCGUCUUUGGCACGGAUGCCCGAUGCUUCUGUGAUGCGCUCUCGAAGAGUCGAGUUGUUUGGGAAUGCAGCUCAAAAUGGGUGGUGAACUCCAUCUAAAGCUAAAUAUUGGCGAGAGACCGAUAGCGAACAAGUACCGUGAGGGAAAGAUGAAAAGCACUUUGGAAAGAGAGUGAAACAGUACGUGAAAUUGUUGAAAGGGAAACGCUUGAAGUCAGUCGCGUCGACCGAGACUCAGCCUUGCCUUGGCUUGGUGUACUUCUCGGCCCGACGGGUCAGCGUCAAUUUUGCCCCUCGGAUAAUGGCAAGGGAAAGGUGGCACCUUUACGGGUGUGUUAUAGUCUCCUGUCGCAUGCGAGGGGUGGGAUUGAGGAACUCAGCGCGCACCAAGGCGGUGUCGGGGCUUCUGCCCACGUAACGCGCUUAGGAUGCUGGCGUAAUGGCUUUAAACGACCCGUCUUGAAACACGGACCAAGGAGUCCAACACGCCCGCGAGUGUUCGGGUGGAAAACCCGUGCGCGUAAUUAAAGUGAAAGUUGGGACCUCUGUCGUGGAGGGCACCGACGCCCGGACCAGACCUUCUGUGACGGAUCUGCGGUAGAGCGUGUGUGUUGGGACCCGAAAGAUGGUGAACUAUGCCUGAAUAGGGUGAAGCCAGAGGAAACUCUGGUGGAGGCUCGUAGCGAUUCUGACGUGCAAAUCGAUCGUCAAAUUUGGGUAUAGGGGCGAAAGACUAAUCGAACCAUCUAGUAGC